GAUGAACGCUGGCGGCGUGCUUAAUACAUGCAAGUCGAGCGGACAGAUCCGGUGCUUGCUCCUCGGACGGUAGCGGCGGGCGUGAGAGGAACACGAGCAUAACCUACCUAUAAGACAGGGAUAACUUCGGGAAACCGGAGCUAAUACCGGAUUAUAUAUUCAACCGCGUGGUUCAAUAGUUACAGAGGGUUUUGCUGGACCCGAGAGAUGGAUCCGCGCCGGAUUAGCUGGUUGGUAAGGUAACGGCUUCCCAAGGCGACGGUGCGUAGCCGACCUGACAGGGUGAUCCGCCACUGUGGAACUGAGCCGCGGUCCUGAGUCCGACGGGCGGCAGAAGUACGGACUCUUCCGCGAUGGGCGGAAGCCUGACGGAGCAACGCCGCGUGAGUGAUGCAGGGCCUCGGAUCGUAAAACGCUGUUAUUAGGGAAGAACGAAUGUGUAAGUAACUAUGCACGUCUUGACGGUACCUGAACAGAAAGCCACGGCUAACUACGUG
RNAcentral lists this ribosomal RNA (497 nucleotides) under uncultured bacterium. RNAcentral describes it as "partial 16S ribosomal RNA". It matches the Rfam family "Bacterial small subunit ribosomal RNA", at positions 28 to 507 of the family's 1533-position model. The record is from RNAcentral.